AACUUACGGUUCCACGACGUUACUUUAUCGUAUUAUUCAUAUUCUUAUUCUUAUUAUUCAUAUUUUUCUGACCUUUUUUAUCUUUUUUUUUUACCCCAUUCAUUUUCGUCACUCCCACGGAAGAAGUUAAAGAAGAAGACAAGUGUGAAAAAAAUCUGUGGUGUUGUGUCACCAAUGAAUU
Long non-coding RNA from Polistes dominula (European paper wasp), 181 nucleotides. RefSeq lists it as uncharacterized. Lineage: Eukaryota; Metazoa; Arthropoda; Insecta; Hymenoptera; Vespidae. The record is from RefSeq and is a predicted model, not a curated record.